CAUACUCUUUGUAUAUUUCAUCAUACCAUUAGAUUCAUCAUUUAGGACUACUGCUUUCACUUGUGUUUUUUUUUUUUUUUCAAAAUGGGUCGUAGGUUAUAGGAUAAUUGUACCAAGGGCAUUACUCAUAUUAUGUUUAUUUACAGGUUACAGGGUGCUCAGGAUUUAGGGCAACACUACGCCAGUUAGGUAGGUCUGUUAUAGAUUAAUUCAAUUGGGUGCACGAGCUGGCACUUACAAUUCACACAUGUACGUU
This is a non-coding RNA of Pelobates cultripes (western spadefoot toad), 256 nucleotides long. Lineage: Eukaryota; Metazoa; Chordata; Amphibia; Anura; Pelobatidae. The record is from the annotation of a GenBank genome assembly.